GCCCUGGUGGCGGAAUUGGCAGACGCGCUAGGCUCAGGACCUAGUGGGAGUUAUAUCCCGUGUUGGUUCGACUCCAAUCCAGGGCA
Molecule: transfer RNA, 86 nt
Filed under: Planctomycetota bacterium
Lineage: Bacteria; Pseudomonadati; Planctomycetota
Description: Planctomycetes bacterium (groundwater metagenome) tRNA-Leu
Rfam family: tRNA
About the family: Transfer RNA (tRNA) molecules are approximately 80 nucleotides in length. Their secondary structure includes four short double-helical elements and three loops (D, anti-codon, and T loops).
Source: RNAcentral